The sequence is a non-coding RNA, 75 nucleotides long. It matches the Rfam family "ASpks TB sRNA". The record is from Rfam.
CUUGAUCGAACCCAGCCACAGCGGGGUGCCGGACUCGCGGUCGCGUCCGUAGGUGGCCAACAGGGCCUGCGCCUC